This 69-nucleotide transfer RNA is filed under the name Rattus norvegicus (Norway rat). It matches the Rfam family "tRNA". From Rfam's summary of the family: Transfer RNA (tRNA) molecules are approximately 80 nucleotides in length. Their secondary structure includes four short double-helical elements and three loops (D, anti-codon, and T loops). The record is from Rfam by way of RNAcentral. Lineage: Eukaryota; Metazoa; Chordata; Mammalia; Rodentia; Muridae. RNAcentral also lists the same sequence under 1 other name.
GGGGAUUUAGCUCAGUGGUAGAGCGCUUGCCUAGCAAGCACAAGGCCCUGGGUUUGAUCCUCAGCUCCA